RNAcentral lists this ribosomal RNA (794 nucleotides) under uncultured bacterium. Its description in RNAcentral is "bacterial SSU rRNA". It matches the Rfam family "Bacterial small subunit ribosomal RNA", at positions 8 to 796 of the family's 1533-position model. The record is from RNAcentral.
AGAGUUUGAUCCUGGCUCAGAUUGAACGCUGGCGGAAUGCUUUACACAUGCAAGUCGAACGGCAGCACGGGGGCAACCCUGGUGGCGAGUGGCGAACGGGUGAGUAAUACAUCGGAACGUGCCCAGUCGUGGGGGAUAACGUAGCGAAAGCUACGCUAAUACCGCAUACGAACUCUGGUUGAAAGCGGGGGACUCGCAAGACCUCGCGCGAUUGGAGCGGCCGAUGGCAGAUUAGGUAGUUGGUGGGGUAAAGGCCUACCAAGCCGACGAUCUGUAGCUGGUCUGAGAGGACGACCAGCCACACUGGGACUGAGACACGGCCCAGACUCCUACGGGAGGCAGCAGUGGGGAAUUUUGGACAAUGGGCGCAAGCCUGAUCCAGCCAUUCCGCGUGCAGGAUGAAGGCCCUCGGGUUGUAAACUGCUUUUGUACGGAACGAAAAGGCUCUGGUUAAUACCUGGGGCUCAUGACGGUACCGUAAGAAUAAGCACCGGCUAACUACGUGCCAGCAGCCGCGGUAAUACGUAGGGUGCAAGCGUUAAUCGGAAUUACUGGGCGUAAAGCGUGCGCAGGCGGUGAUGUAAGACAGGUGUGAAAUCCCCGGGCUUAACCUGGGAACUGCAUUUGUGACUGCAUCGCUGGAGUGCGGCAGAGGGGGAUGGAAUUCCGCGUGUAGCAGUGAAAUGCGUAGAUAUGCGGAGGAACACCGAUGGCGAAGGCAAUCCCCUGGGCCUGCACUGACGCUCAUGCACGAAAGCGUGGGGAGCAAACAGGAUUAGAUACCCUAGUAGUCC